ACAAAGUGACAGGUGGUGCAUGGUUGUCGUCAGCUCGUGUCGUGAGAUGUUGGGUUAAGUCCCGCAACGAGCGCAACCCUUAAGCUUAGUUGCCAUCAUUAAGUUGGGCACUCUAGGUUGACUGCCGGUGACAAACCGGAGGAAGGUGGGGAUGACGUCAAAUCAUCAUGCCCCUUAUGAUUUGGGCUACACACGUGCUACAAUGGACAAUACAAAGGGCAGCUAAACCGCGAGGUCAUGCAAAUCCCAUAAAGUUGUUCUCAGUUCGGAUUGUAGUCUGCAACUCGACUACAUGAAGCUGGAAUCGCUAGUAAUCGUAGAUCAGCAUGCUACGGUGAAUACGUUCCCGGGUCUUGUACACACCGCCCGUCACACCACGAAAGUCUGUCAUGCCCGAAGCCGGUGGCCUAACCGUAAGGAGGGAGCCGUCUAAGGCGGGACAGGUGAUUGGGGUG
This 455-nucleotide ribosomal RNA is filed under the name uncultured bacterium. Its description in RNAcentral is "bacterial SSU rRNA". It matches the Rfam family "Bacterial small subunit ribosomal RNA", at positions 1026 to 1482 of the family's 1533-position model. The record is from RNAcentral.